This 330-nucleotide ribosomal RNA is filed under the name uncultured bacterium. RNAcentral describes it as "bacterial SSU rRNA". It matches the Rfam family "Bacterial small subunit ribosomal RNA", at positions 568 to 898 of the family's 1533-position model. The record is from RNAcentral.
CGCGUAGGUGGUAGUGAAAGUCUAUGGUGGAAUCUUAGGGCUUAACCCUAAAACUGCCUUGGAAACCUCAUUACUUGAGUCAGUGAGGGGAGGGUAGAAUUCCUGGUGUAGCGGUGAAAUGCGUAGAUAUCAGGAGGAAGGCCGGUGGCGAAGGCGGCCCUCUGGCGCUGAACUGACGCUGAGGCGCGAAAGCGUGGGUAGCAAACAGGAUUAGAUACCCUGGUAGUCCACGCCCUAAACGGUGGGUACUAGGUGUAGGGCUCGUAAGGGUUCUGUGCCGAAGGGAAACCAUUAAGUACCCCGCCUGGGGAGUACGGCCGCAAGGUUGAA